Molecule: small nuclear RNA, 104 nt
Organism: Bos taurus (domestic cattle)
Lineage: Eukaryota; Metazoa; Chordata; Mammalia; Artiodactyla; Bovidae
Source: Ensembl
GGCAGCACAUAUACUCUUCAAAAAAACAGCGGAACGACACAGUGAAGAUUAGCAUGGCCCCUGUGCAAGGAUGACAUGCAAAUUUGAAAGCGUUCCAUAUUAAA